AACCGCCGUAUGCGGAACCGCACGUACGGUGGUGUGGGAGGGGGCCGGAGGAUUCCGGCUCCCUACCCGAU
Molecule: non-coding RNA, 71 nt
Organism: Rhodanobacter sp.
Lineage: Bacteria; Pseudomonadati; Pseudomonadota; Gammaproteobacteria; Lysobacterales; Rhodanobacteraceae
Source: Rfam